Molecule: ribosomal RNA, 393 nt
Filed under: Serratia marcescens
Lineage: Bacteria; Pseudomonadati; Pseudomonadota; Gammaproteobacteria; Enterobacterales; Yersiniaceae
Description: bacterial LSU rRNA
Rfam family: Bacterial large subunit ribosomal RNA
Source: RNAcentral
CCUAAGGCGAGGCUGAAAAGCGUAGUCGAUGGGAAACAGGUUAAUAUUCCUGUACUUGGUGUUACUGCGAAGGGGGGACGGAGAAGGCUAGGCUAGCCGGGCGACGGUUGUCCCGGUUUAAGCGUGUAGGGGGUGUGACCUGGUAAAUCCGGUUACAUAUCAACCCUGAGGCGUGAUGACGAUGCACUACGGUGCAGAAGUAGUUGAUGCCCUGCUUCCAGGAAAAGCCUCUAAGCUCUAGGUAACAUUGAAUCGUACCCCAAACCGACACAGGUGGUCAGGUAGAGAAUACCAAGGCGCUUGAGAGAACUCGGGUGAAGGAACUAGGCAAAAUGGUGCCGUAACUUCGGGAGAAGGCACGCUGGCAUGUAGGUGAAGUCCCUUGCGGAUGGA